GUAUCUCAUUUUUCCAGUCAAAAGAAGCCAGCGAAUCUUUCCUCCUCCGACGUAAAAAAAGACGAAUAAUUACUCGGCGGAUAUAAACAUUUUGGGAGUCUUAAAUACGUCAGUUUUCACGAUGAGCGGGAUCCCCGGGACUGCCGUCGUCCAAGUGACCAAUCUGUCUUCCGCGGUGAGCAGCGAGCAGCUGCGCACUCUCUUCGGCUUCCUCGGGGACAUCGAGGAGCUGCGGCUCUACCCACCCGACAACACCACACUCUCCUUCUCGUCCAAAGUGUGCUAUGUCAAGUAUCGAGAAUCUUCCAGUGUUGGUGUGGCGCAGCAUCUCACCAACACUGUUUUUAUGGACAGAGCCCUCAUAGUUGUACCCUGUGCCGAAGGGAAGAUUCCGGAAGAGGCCAAGGCCUUGUCGCUUUUGGCACCCUCUGCCCCCGUGCACAGCUUGCUCCCCGGCAGGGGUCUGCUCCCCAUCCCAACACCCACCCCGCUGCAGAACUUGAGCCUCCCCCUGGUGGGCCAUGUCACCACCCCCCUGGACCCCGCCGCUGCCUCGCUCCCCCAGCCUCCCCUCAUGGGCAACGUGGACCCCACCAAGGUGGACGAAAUCAGGAGGACAGUCUACGUAGGCAACUUGAACUCACAGACGACGACGGCAGAGCAACUCCUGGACUUCUUCCAGCAGGUCGGCGAUGUGAAGUUUGUGCGCAUGGCGGGUGAUGAGACGCAGCCCUCGCGCUUUGCUUUUGUGGAGUUCGUCGAGCAGGAUGCUGUCGCCCGGGCGCUCACCUUCAACGGCGUCAUGUUUGGAGACCGGCCCCUCAAGGUGAACCAUUCCAACAACGCCAUCGUGAAGCCUCCCGAGAUGACGCCGCAGGCCGCCGCCAAGCAGCUAGAGAGUGUGAUGAAGCGCGUGCGCGAGGCGCAGUCCACCAUCGCCGCCGCCAUCGAGCCAGCGGAGAAGGAGAAACGCUAUGCUGCUCACUCUGGGAGAACACGCCGCCCGUCGCGGUCCCGAUCUCGCUCCGGCUCGCGUAGGAGAUCACGCUCCAAACACGGACCGCCGCAGAAGUGGCCAAGGAACAACGCACGCGCUUCCCGAAGUGGCCAUGGUAGGCGCUCUCGCUCCAGAGACAGACGGCGGAGCCGAAGCCACUCCAGGGUCCGCCGGCGGAGUCGGGGGCACUCGAGGAGCCCUCCCAGAAGGGCCAGGUCGCCCUCUCCAAAGAGGAUUAAAAAGCGACGCGAGCGCAGCCGAGAAGCACGGGAACGCUCUUCAUCGAGGAAGAGGAGCCGUAAGGACGAGGAGCGGCCGAGAGGCAAGAAAACGCACAAGGUAGGACGGGAUUACGACAGAGAGGCCUCGCCCUGCGAGGACGCCCGCUCGCCCCCCUUCACGCAGCACAACGGUGUCCACAAAGCACGCAGCGACGGGAUGUCCGUUUGACAGCGCCCGACUGACUGACUUAAGUUGUCACUCCCCCCACCCCCGCCCGGAGGGCAAGUGAAGCGCCACAAUGUCCUAUUUUUGCAUCUCGGGAAGCAGCGGCGAGCGUGUGAAAUGGCGAACAGCCAACACUGGAAAAAUCUGGCUUUGAUAGGCGUUUUGAAAGGGGUGUCAAACUUCACGCCCCGGCCGUGGAUCCUGCCUGUGAUCCUUCUCCUGGAUUCAACUGGCAAGUUGACUUCCCCUGCUGUUCUUUGUCAACAACUUUCACGCAAAACAGCAAUACUGUGGAAAAACUUGCUUAGACAGCCAUUUACAGUUAAUACUUGACACUAAAAAAAACAAAACAAAACUUUAUCCUGCUUCUGUUACGCCUAUGGUCCGACCUAUCGGAAGCUGGCAAAUGGAUGGGUCGACCGCUACUUCCUGUCCAUGUCAUUACAUUUCACACAGAACAGCAACACCAGGAAAAGACUGCAUUUGACAAGCAGUGUGAAAGGGGUUUCUGAUCUUAAAACACGAAAACACAGCCUCCGUCCAGUCUCGACUACUGCCGAAGCUGGCAACCUCUGAAGGACUUCAUCCCCAUUCUCAUGUCAGUACCUUUCAAGCAGCAGAGUGACACUGGGGUAAGAGCCAGCUUUUGCUGUUUUAGUUCUAAACAUUUUUGUGACACUGUUA
Hippocampus comes (tiger tail seahorse) is the source of this 2128-nucleotide RNA transcript. It is a transcript of the gene named splicing regulatory glutamine/lysine-rich protein 1, with no coding region annotated. The record is from RefSeq and is a predicted model, not a curated record. The transcript is spliced from 12 exons. NCBI's taxonomy places the organism in Eukaryota, Metazoa, Chordata, Actinopteri, Syngnathiformes, Syngnathidae.